AUGUGGAAUAUAUGCGAAUUCUUAUUAUUAUAAAUAGCAUGCGAAUUGCCAUUAUAUAUAGCAUGCGAAUUGCCAUUAUAAUCAACAUAUCCUAAAGUAGUAGUCCUCAUCACCGUUAUUUGAAAUUGCACCAGAAGAAUCGAGCGGAGGUUGGGGAAGAAGAAUCCUAUUCUUGAAUAUCAUUGCAACCCUGGAUUUUGGAUCGUUCAAAGGUGCUAAAUCAUAGAGUUGUUCAAUGAGAGAUAGCCUCCAUGUCUUCAACAUUUCCUCCAUUGGCAAUGAAUAUUGCACCCCGUGUGAUAAGUCACUUCAACCGUUCCUGCUUCUUCAUGCAUCACCCAACUGCUAAGUGUUGGUAGCGGAGUAUCGUCAAUAUCAUCAUCAUCUUCAUCAUCAUCUUCUGCCAGAAAAUUUGUCUUCAGUCUUUUUAUUACAGUUCGGGUUCUUUCACAAUUGUUGGCCGUUGGAACCCCAAGGGCAAGGAUAUCACUCUGAACCCCUUCAUUCAUACCAAGCAUGGCUGUGAUUGUCCUUACCUUCACCCUUCUCAUAUCAGAGAACUUUAUGAUGAAUCGUUUCUCUUUCCUUUCAAACCUCCAUGCAAUAACCUUAGCCAUUUUUGAAGUUUUAGGCGUUUUGGACAAUAUGUGGCAUUUAUAGUCAAUGUUUUGGCGUGUUUGAGGUUGUGUUCUCAUGGUCUUAUUUUAUAUUGACUUUUUUUUCCGCGCAUGACAGGUAAUUAUGGCGUUUUGAAAAAGAUAAAUAAAUUCAAUUCCCCAAGUAUUUGGCUUUCAAUAUAAUAAAUGUUAGUAAUUAUGUUUCCGUCGUUUCAUUUUACUGUUUUUGCAGUUA
Molecule: long non-coding RNA, 852 nt
Filed under: Helianthus annuus (common sunflower)
Lineage: Eukaryota; Viridiplantae; Streptophyta; Magnoliopsida; Asterales; Asteraceae
Source: RNAcentral